RNAcentral lists this ribosomal RNA (301 nucleotides) under uncultured bacterium. RNAcentral's name for it is "partial 16S ribosomal RNA". It matches the Rfam family "Bacterial small subunit ribosomal RNA", at positions 509 to 807 of the family's 1533-position model. The record is from RNAcentral.
CAGCCGCCGCGGUAAUACGGAGGGGGCUAGCGUUGUUCGGAAUUACUGGGCGUAAAGCGCACGUAGGCGGCUUGGUAAGUUAGAGGUGAAAGCCCAGGGCUCAACCCUGGAAUUGCCUUUAAGACUGCCGAGCUAGUAGGUGAGAGAGGUAAGUGGAAUUCCGAGUGUAGAGGUGAAAUUCGUAGAUAUUCGGAAGAACACCAGUGGCGAAGGCGGCUUACUGGCUCAUUCUAGACGCUGAGGUGCGAAAGCGUGGGGAGCAAACAGGAUUAGAUACCCGAGUAGUCCCUGUCUCUUAUAC